RNAcentral lists this transfer RNA (62 nucleotides) under Euwallacea similis. Its description in RNAcentral is "tRNA-Cys". The record is from RNAcentral. Lineage: Eukaryota; Metazoa; Arthropoda; Insecta; Coleoptera; Curculionidae.
AAUUACAUAGUCAAUUAUGACAUUGAAUUGCAAAUUCAAGGGUGAAGUUUGUUCUGUAAUUU